UAGAACGCUGAAGCUUGGUGCUUGCACCGAGCGGAUGAGUUGCGAACGGGUGAGUAACGCGUAGGUAACCUGCCUGGUAGCGGGGGAUAACUAUUGGAAACGAUAGCUAAUACCGCAUAAGAGUAGAUGUUGCAUGACAUUUGCUUAAAAGGUGCAAUUGCAUCACUACCAGAUGGACCUGCGUUGUAUUAGCUAGUUGGUGAGGUAACGGCUCACCGAGGCAACGAUACAUAGCCGACCUGAGAGGGUGAUCGGCCACACUGGGACUGAGACACGGCCCAGACUCCUACGGGAGGCAGCAGUAGGGAAUCUUCGGCAAUGGGGGGAACCCUGACCGAGCAACGCCGCGUGAGUGAAGAAGGUUUUCGGAUCGUAAAGCUCUGUUGUAAGAGAAGAACGGGUGUGAGAGUGGAAAGUUCACACUGUGACGGUAUCUUACCAGAAAGGGACGGCUAACUACGUGCCAGCAGCCGCGGUAAUACGUAGGUCCCGAGCGUUGUCCGGAUUUAUUGGGCGUAAAGCGAGCGCAGGCGGUUAGAUAAGUCUGAAGUUAAAGGCUGUGGCUUAACCAUAGUACGCUUUGGAAACUGUUUAACUUGAGUGCAAGAGGGGAGAGUGGAAUUCCAUGUGUAGCGGUGAAAUGCGUAGAUAUAUGGAGGAACACCGGUGGCGAAAGCGGCUCUCUGGCUUGUAACUGACGCUGAGGCUCGAAAGCGUGGGGAGCAAACAGGAUU
Molecule: ribosomal RNA, 734 nt
Filed under: uncultured Streptococcus sp.
Lineage: Bacteria; Bacillati; Bacillota; Bacilli; Lactobacillales; Streptococcaceae
Description: bacterial SSU rRNA
Rfam family: Bacterial small subunit ribosomal RNA
Source: RNAcentral